AGGAAGUCCAGGCAGAUAGCGGCAGUCAAGGCCAAGUGUGCCAGGCAGUCCUCUUGCGAGAUGUCUCUGAUCCCAGAUGUCUGAGGCCAGGUGUCAUUGCUGCCCUAGGCGUGUGAAGGAACAGAGUCAAGCGGGUAUCCUCCUGGCAGCCUGUUGAGUCGCAUCAAGAUUUCAGGUACCGUGAGGAGGCGCAUAGCUGAAGUUUGGAAACGGCAGCACCGAAGCGGAUGUAGAGAACAUGUCGCCGUCCACGUCCGGCUGACGAUGGAUUUUGUCCGGUCGUCUUGCAA
Molecule: long non-coding RNA, 290 nt
Organism: Vidua chalybeata
Lineage: Eukaryota; Metazoa; Chordata; Aves; Passeriformes; Viduidae
Exons: 5
Source: RefSeq, a predicted model, not a curated record